GCGGAGCGCAGGGUCAUGGGCGGCGGCGGCGGCGGCGGCGCGGCCCCGCUCGCACGCAGAGACCAUUGAGAUAACAAAGGAUCAUUUCCUUUGGUUCAGUGGAUAGGUAAAUAACCAGCGACAAGCAUGGAACUGACCAGAAAAAGGUGGCAUUUAAGUCCAGCUCUCACCUCAUCAUGUGCUGUCUACUGUUUAAAACUAAAGGCCUCAACUGCAAUAGAAGCAGGCGUGGCAGGAGGGAGCCUGAGCUUUCCGGUGGAACACAUGACAGCAGGGACCUGCUCCAGGUAACUGAAGGGGGCCAUGUAGAGAGGACACGCAGGAGGGCCUCUGCCAGGCUCAUAAAAAGUGGGUUCAUUGAAAGGGGGAAAUUUCACACUAUGGUUCCUUUUCUCUCCAGCGCAGCCCUCUACUUUCAGGCACACUGGUCUAGAAUAUGCUCCUUACAUUUUUCAGAAGCUUUUGUAAUUUUUCCAGAACAUAAUCUCAAACUAACAUAA
RNAcentral lists this long non-coding RNA (500 nucleotides) under Manacus vitellinus (golden-collared manakin). Its description in RNAcentral is "lncRNA (ENSMVIG00005002465.1)". The record is from RNAcentral. Lineage: Eukaryota; Metazoa; Chordata; Aves; Passeriformes; Pipridae.